RNAcentral lists this long non-coding RNA (223 nucleotides) under Mytilus galloprovincialis (Mediterranean mussel). The record is from RNAcentral. Lineage: Eukaryota; Metazoa; Mollusca; Bivalvia; Mytilida; Mytilidae.
AAUGAAAUAAAAAAUGGGGUCACCGUUCAUUUAAGCUCACAAUCUGCCUCCGGAAGAAGCAUACAUUUUUGUUAAUGUCCUUUUUUCAGUUGAACUAAUAGGAGAAAUAGAGGUAAUAUCAAAAUAAAAAAAAUAACCUAAUUACAGAAAUCGCUUAAAUUUUACAAUUAUUUAGUUUAUGUACAGCUUAUAUGAAAACAAUAAUAAAAAAUAUAGGUCACCG